GGCGGUGUAGCUCAGAUGGUCAGAGCGGGCGUCUCAUAAGCGCUAGGUCACUGGUUCGACUCCAGUCACCGCCACCA
Molecule: transfer RNA, 77 nt
Filed under: Acidobacteriota bacterium
Lineage: Bacteria; Pseudomonadati; Acidobacteriota
Also listed under: 2 other names
Description: Acidobacteria bacterium tRNA-Met
Rfam family: tRNA
About the family: Transfer RNA (tRNA) molecules are approximately 80 nucleotides in length.
Source: RNAcentral